UUUCCGUAGGUGAGCCUGCGGAAGGAUCAUUAACACAUAUGGAACUUUACCUAACCUUAGUUCUUUAUUCAUUUUUAAGUGGAGUAGUUGGUAGGGAAACCUCCAGCUCCCCGCUUAAAAUAUGUUUCUAAACCUUUAAUUAAACAACUUACCUUAAUCAAGGCAACCAAAAAAUUUCUUUAUUGAAAAAAUUUUCAACGACGGAUAUCUUGGUUCCC
This 218-nucleotide unclassified non-coding RNA is filed under the name plant metagenome. Its description in RNAcentral is "partial contains small subunit ribosomal RNA, internal transcribed spacer 1, and 5.8S ribosomal RNA". The record is from RNAcentral.